GGGGCUUGUGAAAUGGCCUAGUUAAGCACCAGAUUUGAAUUAUUUGGGGUUACAAACCGACGAUACGUGCAAACGUUUUGCUGCUGAAUUUUUUUUAAUUUUUUUUUUUUUUUUUUGCAUGCAAGCUCGAUAUCAGUUUCCAGCAUGCCAUAUCAGAAGACUGUGGACAAAUAUGCAAAAAGCAUGUUUCUGCUGAAGGGGAGAGUGCUAGCUUGUGGAGCUAAGCUACCAAUGGAAACAGCAGGCGCAGGCUACUUGCUGAAAACUAAGGUUUAUCUGAAGCUUUGCUGCUCUUUAAAGCGUCAGAAGCUGCUUAUUACUCCUUGAGCCAUACAGCAAAUGCAGGCAUGAAAACAGGUCACUGAGUCAACAUCACGACACUGGUCUCCACGGUUCUAGGACGACAUCGCCUGGCCUGUGUGCAGUUUACAAGUCAAUCAUCAGGCGCUCACAUGCGUGUACAUUGCUCUGCCACAAGAUGGCGUCCCAAGAUUGCUCAGUCAAAUCAGAGCGUUGUAGCUGCUGAAAGUUCAAGCAUGUUACCUGUUAAACCUGUUGACUGAGGUGAUGGAUUGUCCAUAAAAUAAGGAACAAACAGAGAAUAAACUGAUUUCUUCCUCCUUCUUCCUUGUUCCCAGUACCAUUACAGGUUAUAGCUCAUAUAACUCUCUCAUGUGGAGAUGAGUGAAAAAAAAGAAGCCCUAAUUUGACUUAAACCACUUCUGAUAAUAUAAAGAAUCGUCAUUUGUUUGGUCAGACACUAACGCUACGCUGCAUUUCUUUACUGAGAGGGCCCCUACUCUCUUUCUAUCAUGGUGCAUGACAGAGAGAGAGAGAGAGAGAGUGAGCAGAUGACAAAGAUAAGACACGGA
This is a long non-coding RNA of Oreochromis niloticus (Nile tilapia), 872 nucleotides long. RefSeq lists it as uncharacterized. The transcript has 3 exons. Lineage: Eukaryota; Metazoa; Chordata; Actinopteri; Cichliformes; Cichlidae. The record is from RefSeq and is a predicted model, not a curated record.